CCUCAUCAACCCUCACAGCUGCAGACACAGCAGCGCGGCGUGGUAUGAGGUGAGUGGUGUUUACAUCACCUGGUGCAUAUUAGUGAGAGGUGAGAGAAAACGGUUAGUUUGGUGAAGCGAGUGACUAAAUCAUUGCAUGACCGGUGUUCUCUUAUCAAUAUUGUGUUUUUAGUGUUUACACUUCUUCAUUAUGACCACCGUAGCUGUAUACAGAGAAACAGGCAGUCACAAUAAGAAGAGUGAAUGCAAGAGAAAUUGUGGGAAAUGAUCCGAUAUGUGUGGUCCUUUAUGCAGAUAAUGUAGUGGUUAUGAGUUCAUAUAAUAUAGUUUUACCACACCAAACUAAUGCCUCAUAUGUGCAACCUCACCCACCCCGCAACCCCACAACAUGCCCCUGGACACCCACUCCAGUACUCCAUCUGUUCAGUCCUGGAAGCAGCCUCAUUCACCUCACUUCCUAACUUAAAAAGGAGAAAUUCUGUGUCCGAACCAACAGAAGUUUACUCUUGAGUUCGAAGGAGAGACUGACAAGAGCCGAGUAAACAUCCGGACAGAGGAGUAUUUGCCAUGAGAUAGCCGUGACGUGUAAAUACGGAGUACGGCAGGAAGGGAGGAGACAAGGAGGGGAAGAUGGGAAUGGAGGGAGAGGUGGAGGAGAGAUGCACGUCACAACUAUUUCACGGAAAGGUUUCUUCUGUCCGGGUGUCUACUCGACUCUUGCGAGUUUCGCCUUCAAAGCCAAAUGAAACCCACUUGACAAUGCUCUGUAGUGUCAUGCAACAGGGCACAGCGUCAAAUAAGUUGUGGCAAAACGUCAGAUUGAUCCAACAGUUUGUUCAGAAAAUAAUUGCGAAAAACGAUGAUCUGAAAUGGAAAGUUACCUACCUACGUAGUUACUUGCCUGCCUGCCUGCCAUGUAAGGCCAACAGGAAAGGACACAAACACACGCAGUAUAUACACAAUCACAAGUCAACUGAAGAAUCACACAAGCAUGACAUUCAUCCCAAUUAACCUCUAUUAUUAUGCAUGUACGAGCCCCACUGCUCUCUGAAUCAAGCGGGGAAGAACCUGACGAACACACACACACACACACACACACACACACACCUGUAGCUCGAGACACGUGAAGAGUGCCGUAACAUUUACAGUAAGUAGCCUUACCUGAGCCUACCUGAUGAUUCCGAUGGGUGUGUCUGGUACUAGUACAUAGAAUGGGAUGAAAAUACAUAAGGAGAGAGAGAGAGAGAGAGAGAGAGAGAGAGAGAGAGAGAGAGAGAGAGAGAGAGAGAGAGAGAGAGAGAGAGA
This is a long non-coding RNA of Scylla paramamosain (green mud crab), 1305 nucleotides long. RefSeq lists it as uncharacterized. The record is from RefSeq and is a predicted model, not a curated record. Lineage: Eukaryota; Metazoa; Arthropoda; Malacostraca; Decapoda; Portunidae. The transcript is spliced from 2 exons.